Molecule: transfer RNA, 82 nt
Filed under: Lentinula raphanica
Lineage: Eukaryota; Fungi; Basidiomycota; Agaricomycetes; Agaricales; Omphalotaceae
Description: tRNA-Thr
Rfam family: tRNA
About the family: Transfer RNA (tRNA) molecules are approximately 80 nucleotides in length. Their secondary structure includes four short double-helical elements and three loops (D, anti-codon, and T loops).
Source: RNAcentral
UCCCUCUUAGCUCAGUUGGUAGAGCGCGUCACUAGUAUUAUUCUUAAUGACGAGGUCAGUCGUUCAAGUCGGCUAGAGGGAA